RNAcentral lists this ribosomal RNA (232 nucleotides) under uncultured bacterium. RNAcentral describes it as "partial 16S ribosomal RNA". It matches the Rfam family "Bacterial small subunit ribosomal RNA", at positions 122 to 354 of the family's 1533-position model. The record is from RNAcentral.
CAACCUGCCCUUCAGAGGGGGACAACAGUUGGAAACGACUGCUAAUACCGCAUAACAUAUCCGGGAGGCAUCUCCUGGAUAUCAAAGAUUUAUCGCUGAAGGAUGGGCUCAUGUCUGAUUAGCUAGUUGGUGGGGUAACGGCCCACCAAGGCUGCGAUCAGUAGCCGGUCUGAGAGGAUGAACGGCCACAUUGGGACUGAGAUACGGCCCAGACUCCUACGGAAGGCAGCAG